Molecule: ribosomal RNA, 935 nt
Filed under: Lactococcus lactis
Lineage: Bacteria; Bacillati; Bacillota; Bacilli; Lactobacillales; Streptococcaceae
Description: bacterial SSU rRNA
Rfam family: Bacterial small subunit ribosomal RNA
Source: RNAcentral
CAGUGGCGGCGUGCUAUACAUGCAGUUGAGCGCUGAAGGUUGGUACUUGUACCAACUGGAUGAGCAGCGAACGGGUGAGUAACGCGUGGGGAAUCUGCCUUUGAGCGGGGGACAACAUUUGGAAACGAAUGCUAAUACCGCAUAAAAACUUUAAACACAAGUUUUAAGUUUGAAAGAUGCAAUUGCAUCACUCAAAGAUGAUCCCGCGUUGUAUUAGCUAGUUGGUGAGGUAAAGGCUCACCAAGGCGAUGAUACAUAGCCGACCUGAGAGGGUGAUCGGCCACAUUGGGACUGAGACACGGCCCAAACUCCUACGGGAGGCAGCAGUAGGGAAUCUUCGGCAAUGGACGAAAGUCUGACCGAGCAACGCCGCGUGAGUGAAGAAGGUUUUCGGAUCGUAAAACUCUGUUGGUAGAGAAGAACGUUGGUGAGAGUGGAAAGCUCAUCAAGUGACGGUAACUACCCAGAAAGGGACGGCUAACUACGUGCCAGCAGCCGCGGUAAUACGUAGGUCCCGAGCGUUGUCCGGAUUUAUUGGGCGUAAAGCGAGCGCAGGUGGUUUAUUAAGUCUGGUGUAAAAGGCAGUGGCUCAACCAUUGUAUGCAUUGGAAACUGGUAGACUUGAGUGCAGGAGAGGAGAGUGGAAUUCCAUGUGUAGCGGUGAAAUGCGUAGAUAUAUGGAGGAACACCGGUGGCGAAAGCGGCUCUCUGGCCUGUAACUGACACUGAGGCUCGAAAGCGUGGGGAGCAAACAGGAUUAGAUACCCUGGUAGUCCACGCCGUAAACGAUGAGUGCUAGAUGUAGGGAGCUAUAAGUUCUCUGUAUCGCAGCUAACGCAAUAAGCACUCCGCCUGGGGAGUACGACCGCAAGGUUGAAACUCAAAGGAAUUGACGGGGGCCCGCACAAGCGGUGGAGCAUGUGGUUUAAUUCGAA